Molecule: ribosomal RNA, 351 nt
Filed under: uncultured bacterium
Lineage: Bacteria
Description: bacterial SSU rRNA
Rfam family: Bacterial small subunit ribosomal RNA
Source: RNAcentral
AGAGUUUGAUCAUGGCUCAGGAUGAACGCUAGCUACAGGCCUAACACAUGCAAGUCGAGGGGAAACGACAUCGAAAGCUUGCUUUUGAUGGGCGUCGACCGGCGCACGGGUGAGUAACGCGUAUCCAACCUGCCCAUCACUUGGGGAUAGCCUUGCGAAAGUAAGACUAAUACCCAAUGACGUCUCUAGUAGACAUCUGAAAGAGAUUAAAGAUUUAUCGGUGAUGGAUGGGGAUGCGUCUGAUUAGCUUGUUGGCGGGGUAACGCCACCAAGGCGACGAUCAGUAGGGGUUCUGAGAGGAAGGUCCCCCACAUUGGAACUGAGACACGGUCCAAACUCCUACGGGAGGCA